This 251-nucleotide long non-coding RNA is filed under the name Nicotiana benthamiana. Its description in RNAcentral is "long non-coding RNA (NBEN_LNC033008)". Lineage: Eukaryota; Viridiplantae; Streptophyta; Magnoliopsida; Solanales; Solanaceae. The record is from RNAcentral.
GCAAAGCAGCUAUGGAAGUAAAGAAUGGAGGGAAACAAUUUGAUCCAGGACCCUCUUACAGUCUAGCUGAUGAUAAUCCAUGAUAGUGGUUACUUGGAAUAUAAGGGGACUAAAUCAGUCUCCUAAACAGAAGGAGUUGAAGCAAUUCCUUACUGAUAAUAAAGUAGAUAUAAUUGGUAUACUUGAAACUAGAGUUAAGGAGCAUAAAUCUAAAAAGAUCUUUGAUAGAAUUUCAAAAGGUUGGAAAUGGC